UAUUUCUAACGAUAUAAAUUAGGAAUUAGGAUUAGGUUUCUCUCUACAAACAACAGAUUGUCUACGACUACGUGCUGCGACUGCUCAAUGUCGAGUGCGACUGUGCGAGUACAAUAGAGAUGGCGACUUCACGACCUCGACGCUGAUGACUCUCUCCUCCAUGACUCUCUACUCAAUUUCUCUCAACUCAUCUCUUAGAAUCAAAUAGAGUUAGCCUCACGAACUGUUUACAUAAAUUAAUUUGAGGUACACAUUUGAACUUGUUCUUGGUGUAAUUUCUCCAGUGGAAUGAAAAGGCAGUUACUGUUUGACAUUCAUUAAAGUUUACUGUUUUUUUAGUUUACUAUGAUACAGUCAGCUUUAAGAUUUGUAUGGUAAGUUUGUGCCUUAACGCGCCUGUAGGGAUUAGUUGGGUCAUUACAUGUUAUAUACAGCUUUGUAACCUGUGGACAAUGGGUACCUGCAUAAUUAGGAUUGUUGUUUGAUCGAUUUGAGUUGUUUUGAAUGGUGAUGGACCGUUAACUCUAAAUAUGUAACUUAUUUCUGAUGGAA
Nicotiana tabacum (common tobacco) is the source of this 552-nucleotide long non-coding RNA. RefSeq lists it as uncharacterized. Lineage: Eukaryota; Viridiplantae; Streptophyta; Magnoliopsida; Solanales; Solanaceae. The record is from RefSeq and is a predicted model, not a curated record.